GGUUAAGCGACUAAGCGUACACGGUGGAUGCCCUGGCAGUCAGAGGCGAUGAAGGACGUGCUAAUCUGCGAUAAGCGCCGGUAAGGUGAUAUGAACCGUUAUAACCGGCGAUUUCCGAAUGGGGAAACCCAGUGUGACUCGUCACACUAUCAUUAACUGAAUCCAUAGGUUAAUGAGGCGAACCGGGGGAACUGAAACAUCUAAGUACCCCGAGGAAAAGAAAUCAACCGAGAUUCCCCCAGUAGCGGCGAGCGAACGGGGAGGAGCCCAGAGCCUGAAUCAGCAUGUGUGUUAGUGGAAGCGUCUGGAAAGGCGCGCGAUACAGGGUGACAGCCCCGUACACAAAAGCGCAUGUGCUGUGAGCUCGAUGAGUAGGGCGGGACACGUGGUAUCCUGUCUGAAUAUGGGGGGACCAUCCUCCAAGGCUAAAUACUCCUGACUGACCGAUAGUGAACCAGUACCGUGAGGGAAAGGCGAAAAGAACCCCGGCGAGGGGAGUGAAAAAGAACCUGAAACCGUGUACGUACAAGCAGUGGGAGCACCCUUUGGGGUGUGACUGCGUACCUUUUGUAUAAUGGGUCAGCGACUUAUAUUCUGUAGCAAGGUUAACCGUAUAGGGGAGCCGGAGGGAAACCGAGUCUUAACCGGGCGUUAAGUUGCAGGGUAUAGACCCGAAACCCGGUGAUCUAGCCAUGGGCAGGUUGAAGGUUGGGUAACACUAACUGGAGGACCGAACCGACUAAUGUUGAAAAAUUAGCGGAUGACCUGUGGCUGGGGGUGAAAGGCCAAUCAAACCGGGAGAUAGCUGGUUCUCCCCGAAAGCUAUUUAGGUAGCGCCUCGUGAAUUCAUCUCCGGGGGUAGAGCACUGUUUCGGCUAGGGGGCCAUCCCGGCUUACCAACCCGAUGCAAACUGCGAAUACCGGAGAAUGUUAUCACGGGAGACACACGGCGGGUGCUAACGUCCGUCGUGAAGAGGGAAACAACCCAGACCGCCAGCUAAGGUCCCAAAGUCAUGGUUAAGUGGGAAACGAUGUGGGAAGGCCCAGACAGCCAGGAUGUUGGCUUAGAAGCAGCCAUCAUUUAAAGAAAGCGUAAUAGCUCACUGGUCGAGUCGGCCUGCGCGGAAGAUGUAACGGGGCUAAACCAU
RNAcentral lists this ribosomal RNA (1148 nucleotides) under Salmonella enterica. RNAcentral describes it as "partial 23S ribosomal RNA". It matches the Rfam family "Bacterial large subunit ribosomal RNA", at positions 1 to 1190 of the family's 2925-position model. The record is from RNAcentral. Lineage: Bacteria; Pseudomonadati; Pseudomonadota; Gammaproteobacteria; Enterobacterales; Enterobacteriaceae.